UCCCGUGCAUGGCGCACCUUCCGCCUGAAAUCCAGCUCGGUUCGGUGGGAGUGGGGGGGCAUGGCCGGGGUAUAAACCGGUCUCGGGUACCCUCGCCUCUAGUUAACCCAUGCCGAUUGCCCCGGGAACCACUGCCUACGGAAAGCUUACGCACGACGAGAGAAGAUUGCCGCCGUGAACCGCCAUCGACGAUCCCCAAUUCCGUUGCCGCGUUGACCUUGGUGCUGAUCUGAGACGCCUCUGCGUGUCUCGACAGUGGGGGCCGAAGAACUGGAGUGGAGGAAGGGCUUGCAGCGACCCCGGAAUUCCACGCCGGAUCUCGACGUCCGCCGCUGCUCGUGUGCAACCAUGCCUACGCUUCGUAUCGCGGUGAGAUUUCCUUCCCUUGAUUCACAUUCUCUUCCUCUGCGCGUAGCAUGUCUCGGAUUGGAAAAUAGUGCGCGUUCGGGCAUUGAUUGUGCGGCUCCGGCGAUGGCGCCGCCGUGUGAGUUCCGCGCCGCCGGGCGCGAGUGACCGGAGAAAGGAACCAGGGGGAUGCGCCUGUGCUCAGAUCCCGGCCAUCCGAUUGUGAUGGACGGUCCCGAUGAGUUAUGGGAAUUACAAUCUUAUGGAUUAGAUCUUUACCGUUGAAAUGUGAUCCGAGGGGUGAUCGUCGAUCGCGACCUCGACCGUUGAUUGCCGAUCCUGCGCGCGUCAUUAGGGCUAGUGCAGUGGCGCGCAUCGUAGAUCUGGGCCGUCGGCUUUUAAUCAGACGACUACAGGCCCACGGUACCCCUUCGUCGGUGGUUUUCCAUAUGAGCCCUCGGGUUUUGAUGAAAUCAACCCACGAUCCGCGCGGGGAUUAGGUCUGAGUCUUCAGAUAAAUUGCGCUAAGGCCCCUGUCUUUCUCAGAUUUAUUGCGUCCAGUCCAGAGCCUAUUUAAAUUGAAUAAGUGAAUUAGAGAAUGGAUUUUUAUUAUGAAAAUAACUACUAGAACUUAAUAAAUUCAUAGAAAAUUCAUACUUGCUCCAAAUCACUCCAUUCCACUUUCUAAAUUUUUAUAAUUUAAUUCUCUAUCACUUAGAGCCUCUGUUUUGUCAUGAAAACAGUAAGAAAUUUAAUUCCUCACUUAAUCUAUUUUAAACACAUAAAACCCUUGCAAAUCCAUAACUUAAAAUCUAUAGCUCCAAAAAUUAUGAUUCCUGUUCCUAGGAUUUUAUUUUAAUGUGUAGAUUAUUACUGUGCAUUUUAUUUAUAUGUUUGGUGUAAUGUUAAUUUCUCUAUAUGCAUUGUGCUUGUUUGUAUUGUGGCGAGUAGAAGAGCCCGUUGCUGAGGAUCCUGGUGAGCAGCAGGUUGAAGUAGCUGAGCAGAAGCUCAUUGAAGGCAAGUUGUGCCCUUGACCACUUUUUACCCAAUAAUGUUCUCUAAUUAUCAUUCACUCAUGCAUAGGUUAAUUUUGAUGGGACCCAAUAGGUCACCCUAGAUUGUUUAUCUCAUUACCUUGUUUACCCCUGAUUCACUUGGGUAGUUUGCUAUUGCUUUACCUGGUUUUGGGAUAAUCAUUUAUUACCUAUAUGUUCCAAUUCUUUUGUUAUUCUAUUUAUGUUCAUGUCAAGUUCAUUAAUGUUAAUUGGAACAUAGAGCUUAACUUGAGAACCACGUGCCACCACAAGGGUUUAAUGGGACGCCCUUGGCUGACUAAUUAGGAAAGCUAGUGGAAGAUUACCUUACCCGAAAGGGGCAAGGGAAGUAGGGGAGUGGUCAGUGUAGGGAGGUCCUUGGUUGAUUUUGCUACGAUGGCGGUCAGACAAGAACCCUGCAUUGGAGCUUCCUAUAAACUGUAGCGGGUUUUCGGAAGCUAGUGGAACUUUGUAAAGGCCUCGUAGUGUUGCCCUGCCGCGCUUCCUAGGUAGAGGUGUAUGGGAAGUCGCGAUCCCUUGGCAGAUGGGUAACAUGACUUGUGGGUAAAGGGUACAACCUCUGCAGAGUGUAAAACUGGUAUACUAGCCGAGCUCACGGUCAUGAGCGGCUCAGGACUCUUUGAUGUUUAAAUUAUGGAACUUAAAUUCAAUUUUGUCGUAUGCAUUGCAUGGGUUUGUUAUUAAUUUUGUUCUAUUACUUUACUUAAGGUUUGGUAUUUACUUACACUUAGUAAUUGCUAAUAAAAUUUGGACCAACUACUUAAAAGCAAUGCUCAGCUUUAACCCCUAUCAUUGAUUAGCCUUACACAUCACAUGAACUCACACAUUUGUGAGUUUAUGUCCACUGGUUCCCCACAACUUGUUGAGCUAUGAUCAUGUGUGAGCUCACCCUUGCUGUCUCACACCCCCCCCCCACAGGAGAAGAGCAGGUGGUUCAGGAGGAGCCACAAGGCGAGGAGUAUGAUCUGAUCUAGGUGGCGUUUCUCAGUUGACAUUGGCGCCGAUGAUCCUUAGUUCGUUUUAUAUUUAUCUUUUAUUUUGUAAUAAGUCUUCCGCUGUGUAAUAAAUACUCUGAUGUUAUUGACAUUUAUCUCUAUACACUCUGUUAUUAUAUAUGUUGUCUUCUUGGCGCAUGUAUGAGAUGCACCUGGCUUUAUUCCUUAAAGCCGGGUGUGACAUUGGCCCCGUUGCCUAUCUCAGCAUCGGGGGAAGUAAGUAUGGUCUUAUUAUAGUUGAUGAUUUUUCCCGCUUCACUUGGGUGUUCUUUUUGCAG
Molecule: long non-coding RNA, 2673 nt
Filed under: Zea mays
Lineage: Eukaryota; Viridiplantae; Streptophyta; Magnoliopsida; Poales; Poaceae
Description: long non-coding RNA (ZMAY_LNC003669)
Source: RNAcentral